This 294-nucleotide ribosomal RNA is filed under the name Triticum aestivum (bread wheat). Its description in RNAcentral is "partial small subunit ribosomal RNA". Lineage: Eukaryota; Viridiplantae; Streptophyta; Magnoliopsida; Poales; Poaceae. The record is from RNAcentral.
AUGGGGAUGGAGGACAGUUCAUUGGGCUUUGCCUGCAUUCAGGGAUCGAGCCUUUAUACAUGGUCAAGGAAGAUGGAUACAGCUGAAGCAGCGGAAUGGCUACAAUACAGGGUCAUCGAGCUGGAGAAAACUAUACCUGUUGCCAAUCCCGAUGACAAAUGGUUGGCUUUGCGGAGGGUGUGGGUGUCGUCCUUGUUAGCUCAGGUGUUGGCUUAUUUACCAUCAAGCUCAAUUCUGGGAACGUUAAGAAGGUUGACGAGUCUGGAAUCUCCUUUACCGUCCUACCCUACAUGA